Molecule: ribosomal RNA, 380 nt
Filed under: uncultured eukaryote
Lineage: Eukaryota
Description: partial 18S ribosomal RNA
Rfam family: Eukaryotic small subunit ribosomal RNA
Source: RNAcentral
CAAUAGCGUAUAUUAAAGUUGUUGCAGUUAGAACGCUCGUAGUCGGAUUUCGGGUCGGGCCGACCGGUCUGCCGAUGGGUACGCACUGGUCGGCGCGUCCUUCCUCUCGGAGACUGUUCCUACUCUUAACUGAGCGGGAGCAGGAUACGGGACUUUUACUUUGAAAAAAUCAGAGUGUUUCAAGCAGGCAGCUCGCUCUUGCAUGGAUUAGCAUGGGAUAAUGAAAUAGGACUUUGGUGCUAUUUUGUUGGUUUCGAACACCGAAGUAAUGAUGAGAAGGGACAGUCAGGGGCACUCGUAUUCCGCCGAGAGAGGUGAAAUUCUCAGACCAGCGGAAGACGAACCACUGCGAAANCANNNGCCAGGGAUGUUUUCACNGA